UGAAUACGAGACGCUAAGGCGUCGAAGUAGUGUAUGUCAUACUUCCAAGAAAAGCUUGCACUGUCAUAGAUAAAAAACGCCUGUACCAUAACCGACACAGGUGGGUAGGUAGAGUAUACUAAGGGGCGCGAGAUAACUCUCUCUAAGGAACUCGGCAAAAUAACUCCGUAACUUCGGGAGAAGGAGUGCCUUAUUCGUAAGGUUGCAAUAACAAGAUCCAAGCAACUGUUUAUCAAAAACACAGGUCUCCGCUAAGUCGUAAGACGAUGUAUGGGGGCUGACGCCUGCCCAGUGCCAGAAGGUUAAAGAAGUUGGUUAGCAAUUGCGAAGCUGAUAACUGAAGCCCUGGUGAACGGCGGCCGUAACAAUAACGGUCCUAAGGUAGCGAAAUUCCUUGUCGGGUAAGUUCCGACCCGCACGAAAGGCGUAAUGAUUUGGAUACUGUCUCGGAGAGGGGCUCGGUGAAAUAGACUUGUCUGUGAAGAUGCGGACUACCUGCACCAGGACAGAAAGACCCUAUGAAGCUUUACUGUAACUUGAAGUUGAAAUUGGACUUUAUUCGCGCAGCAUAGGUGGGAGGCGUUGAUUAUAAUCUUGCGGGAUUAUUGGAGCCAUCAGUGAGAUACCACUCUUGUAAUGUUAGAUUUCUAACUUUGAAUCAUUAUCUGGUCAAAGAACAGUUUCAGGCGGGCAGUUUGACUGGGGCGGUCGCCUCCUAAACGGUAACGGAGGCGUACAAAGGUUUCCUCUGAACGGUUAGAAAUCGUAUCUAGAGUGUAAAGGCAUAAGGAAGCUUGACUGUGAGACCUACAAGUCGAGCAGGGACGAAAGUCGGUCUUAGUGAUCUGACGGUACUGAGUGGAAAGGCCGUCACUCAACGGAUAAAAGUUACUCUAGGAUAACAGGCUGAUCUCCCCCAAGAGUUCACAUCGACGGGGAGGUUUGGCACCUCGAUGUCGGCUCAUCGCAUCCUGGGGCGGUAGUACGUCCCAAGGGUUGGGCUGUUCGCCCAUGAAAGCGGUACGCGAGCUGGGUUCAGAACGUCGUGAGACAGUUCGGUCCAUAUCCGGUGUAGGCGUUAGAAUAUUGAGAGGAGCCUUCUUUAGUACGAGAGGACCGAGAAGGACAUACCUCUGGUGUACCAGUUAUCGUGCCAACGGUAAACGCUGGGUAGCUAUGUAUGGAGUGGAUAACCGCUGAAAGCAUCUAAGUGGGAAGCCCACCUCAAGAUAAGUAUUCUC
This 1241-nucleotide ribosomal RNA is filed under the name metagenome. RNAcentral describes it as "bacterial LSU rRNA". It matches the Rfam family "Bacterial large subunit ribosomal RNA", at positions 1564 to 2815 of the family's 2925-position model. The record is from RNAcentral.